Molecule: non-coding RNA, 100 nt
Organism: Xylaria sp. FL1042
Lineage: Eukaryota; Fungi; Ascomycota; Sordariomycetes; Xylariales; Xylariaceae
Source: the annotation of a GenBank genome assembly
GGCAAGAUGGCCGAGUUGGUUAUGGCGUGAGGUUAAGGCUUCACCUUAGCACGAAUUCCUCAUGGAGCAAUCCGCGUGGGUUCAAGUCCCACUCUUGUCA